Molecule: long non-coding RNA, 1642 nt
Filed under: Eufriesea mexicana
Lineage: Eukaryota; Metazoa; Arthropoda; Insecta; Hymenoptera; Apidae
Description: uncharacterized LOC108552617
Source: RNAcentral
AACGCCGGUGUGCCGUGAAAAUACUUUAAACUGUGCCAAAUCGAAGAUUUAUUCAAAGAAAACGCGAAGUUUUACUUGUCCAAGCGAAAAUCUGCUCUGAGCCAAAGAGAACCAGCCACACAUCGAAGUCGAGGCUGACUGCGUCGUCGACGGGACGCGACGAAACCGUUAUGUUAUUAUUCCUCGACGUCUUUGGACAAGGCAUGGCUCGACAUGUGACCGACCUUAUCGCCGAUGUCUUUCCGUCUCAGUUACUUGUUAUUCUUCGACGUGUUCGGACAAGUGGCUCGUCGUGAGACCGAUUUUCCUGUUCAUCGUGCCACGCCCCACCGGAACUUUGAGAAUCUUCGAACGAGAGUUUGGCUCGGAACGUAGCGAACACGACAGAGUAUCUCCGUAUACGAGUGCAGACGUCCUCAAUAACGGACACGGAGCUUGGCCUCGAAGACCUUAGUGUAAACAUAGAGCGAAAAGGAAACACCGGUGCGGAAUGCGGCCGUUAUGUCGAGUGAUAAUACACCAGCGUGGACACCGACGGAGCCUACGCUCGAGGAAAGUGGAAAGUAAACAUUAGACAAAGAAACGCGAAGCGUUCCGAGGUUAGUAUGUGCGUGGAUCGCGAGCUGCGAACAACGACGAGAACGCGAAAGACUAUAACGCGCUAAAAAUUAAUUCCCCAAUCGCGUCGUUCGUAAAACCGUCGUUGCUAGUGAUGUUCGCGUGGAGUGCAGUGAUACGUGGCGUAGUGGGGGAAGCAGUGGAGUGUCCGUGCGCGACGGAAUCUUUGGUUCGGACUGUAGGGGCUAACCGUAACGCCCAUGACCCUGACGCUUGGAUUUACAAACGAGGGCUCUGCUAUCCGUAAACCAGCAGGUGCUUCCGUGAUGGCAGCGGUGUUCGGGAAAAAAGAAAUAGCUCGCUGCCAGCCACGUCCCUCGCUUCCUAAUUCCUCGUCUUAAUCACGAGGAUCGUUCGCUUAGACCCGGCUAACAACCGGCGAGACGCGAGUCCGUGCUGGCCGCGUCAGGCAUCGAGCGUUCACGCGUACAAAGUCGGACAAGAGGAAGAGGAUAAUCCGCCUGGAUUCCAUCGGACACGUCGUUUCGUCGGGAACGAGAACAAUUCGACGCUGGAGGAGCCGUGGAACGCGUUGCGUAAGAGAUUGGAUGCGUCCGAGUGGCUGCCCUGGAAAUGAGUCGAUCGAGGGCUUUCGUGACGGGUGGCAGGGUUUUGCACGAGGCAGGUCGGGCGAAGCGAGGAGGAACAAAGUGGAAGAAAAUAGAACAAAAUGGAAGAAAAUGGAACAAAAUGGAGGAUGGUUGUUGGCGCGUCGGACGAAACGCGUAAGCACCGGGAAGCAGACGACGACAUGGAGGCGAUCGGGUAAUUAAAGUUAAUUAUACGGACAAAAGAAGACGCGUGGAGGAAGGAGAGGACCGCAUUUCCCUUUGUCCUCGUUAACCUUGCAAUCUCUGCUACUUAUUUCCGCAGUUACUCGCGUGAAACCGAGCGUUCGCGGUUUACGAGCGUAAAUGUAGCAAUGAAACAUUCCGUUCUUUCCGAGUCAGCGACAGUGAGGCCAGAGGAUGGCUGACCAGUCUACGAUGUCUUCUCUCGGGCUCGUAUGGAAAGAUCCAACGAC